UGUUUUCUUCUUCUCAGUGUAAGUGAGAUACUAUUAGCUUUUUUCCUCCCUUAGUUUACU
This 60-nucleotide transfer RNA is filed under the name Aptostichus atomarius. Its description in RNAcentral is "tRNA-Val". The record is from RNAcentral. Lineage: Eukaryota; Metazoa; Arthropoda; Arachnida; Araneae; Euctenizidae.